GUAGGUUUCUGGAUCUACUCUCUUCCCAAUUCACACACCUCCUCCAUGGAAGUGUCGAAGAUCAAUUGGAAGAUGAUUGCCAAAGUAAUUGGCAAGUGAAGUAUCUGACGCAUAUUCUGGUCGAACUCACCAACACCGUCAUGGAAGUUACAUACGAUGUUCUUCUCCUUCACCUUCUCCUUCACCCCUUCAUACCUGAAACCCUAUCUGAAUUUUGGGGACCCAGAUCGGUUGGUUUUCUGUUCCUCGGAGAUUACAUUAUCGCUUCUGAUUCCCAUUUUCUUUCUUACUCUUCAACAUUCUCUACAAACCCUAGAAUCCAACGUUGUUCAUCCUGUUGCUUUUGUUCAAUAAAUAUCCUCAAUCCUUCACCAAGUCAAACAUUCUGAGACACUUUUCACAAACCCUAAAUACCUACACCAAGCAUUUGUGUCUUCUUCGAUUCAUUUGCUUUUUAUUCGAUUCAUCAUUCAGUUAUUUAAGGGUUUUGCUAUCCCUCUUCAAUCUGUUACCGCCAGAAGCUUUUUUUUUCCGUGGAGCCAUGGCGAUUCUGCUGGUUCAUGUUGUAACUGGCAAGUCAUCAUUUAACAUGUUACACAUGGAUCUCUGCAUUUUUCUUUGAGUGGUGGUUGGUUCGUUGAAUCAGGUUUACCUCUUGCCUUCAGUAUGCUACUUAUUUCGGGUGGUCGGGUAAGGUUGUGAACUAAAGGCACUUAUAAGUUGAUCCUACAUAACUGUUUGUUUUAUAGGAAGAUUCUGUAAGAAACUGUAA
Molecule: long non-coding RNA, 772 nt
Organism: Helianthus annuus (common sunflower)
Lineage: Eukaryota; Viridiplantae; Streptophyta; Magnoliopsida; Asterales; Asteraceae
Exons: 4
Source: RefSeq, a predicted model, not a curated record